RNAcentral lists this ribosomal RNA (467 nucleotides) under uncultured bacterium. RNAcentral describes it as "partial 16S ribosomal RNA". It matches the Rfam family "Bacterial small subunit ribosomal RNA", at positions 28 to 507 of the family's 1533-position model. The record is from RNAcentral.
GACGAACGCUGGCGGCGUGCUUAACACAUGCAAGUCGAACGGAAAGGCCCUGCUUUUGUGGGGUGCUCGAGUGGCGAACGGGUGAGUAACACGUGAGUAACCUGCCCUUGACUUUGGGAUAACUUCAGGAAACUGGGGCUAAUACCGGAUAGGAGCUCCUGCUGCAUGGUGGGAGUUGGAAAGUUUCGGCGGUUGGGGAUGGACUCGCGGCUUAUCAGCUUGUUGGUGGGGUAGUGGCUUACCAAGGCUUUGACGGGUAGCCGGCCUGAGAGGGUGACCGGCAACAUUGGAACUGAGAUACGGCCCAGACUCCUACGGGAGGCAGCGGGGGGAAUAUUGCACAAUGGGCGGAAGCCUGAUGCAGCAACGCCGCGUGCGGGAUGACGGCCUUCGGGUUGUAAACCGCUUUCGCCUGUGACGAAGCGUGAGUGACGGUAAUGGGUAAAGAAGCACCGGCUAACUACGUG